GUGGGGAAUAUUGGACAAUGGGCGCAAGCCUGAUCCAGCCAUGUCGCGUGAGUGAUGAAGGCCCUAGGGUUGUAAAGCUCUUUCAGUGGGGACGAUAAUGACGGUACCCACAGAAGAAGCCCCGGCUAACUUCGUGCCAGCAGCCGCGGUAAUACGAAGGGGGCUAGCGUUGUUCGGAUUUACUGGGCGUAAAGCGCACGUAGGCGGAUCGUUAAGUCGAGGGUGAAAUCCUGGAGCUCAACUCCAGAACUGCCUUCGAUACUGGCGAUCUUGAGUCCGGAAGAGGUGAGUGGAACUCCUAGUGUAGAGGUGGAAUUCGUAGAUAUUAGGAAGAACACCAGUGGCGAAGGCGGCUCACUGGUCCGGUACUGACGCUGAGGUGCGAAAGCGUGGGGAGCAAACAGGAUUAGAAACCCGAGUAGUCC
RNAcentral lists this ribosomal RNA (425 nucleotides) under uncultured bacterium. RNAcentral describes it as "partial 16S ribosomal RNA". It matches the Rfam family "Bacterial small subunit ribosomal RNA", at positions 354 to 796 of the family's 1533-position model. The record is from RNAcentral.